Long non-coding RNA from Mauremys mutica (yellowpond turtle), 1057 nucleotides. RefSeq lists it as uncharacterized. NCBI's taxonomy places the organism in Eukaryota, Metazoa, Chordata, Testudines, Geoemydidae. The record is from RefSeq and is a predicted model, not a curated record. The transcript has 3 exons.
UAAGAGAUGAUCAGCUGAGAAGGAAGCUCCUACUUAAAGAAAGCUCCCUGUUUAUUAGGGGAAGAGAAACUGGUGAUAUGUGAAUGGGUUACUGUCUGACAGAUCUGACAGUAGGAAAGAGGAAAGACCCCUUUUAGGAUGGUGGUGGCAGCAGGGUUCCUUGUUUCCACCUGCGGCUCUGAGAUACAGUUACUCGUUGUAAGCAAGAUCGGCAGAUUUUCUCCUUUGUGCUUGGAAAGGUCACAGUUCUCUGAAGUAUGCAAGCCUUAUUGUCGUUUCCUUCCUCCAUCAAUUCACUAAAUGCCAGUUCUCUCAAUGGCCUCGAGCAAGAAAUUAACACCAAACAGCAUAAACUGGACCGUAAUCUCUGAUGCACAGAUCAGAAGGCUGGAUACAAAGACGGCGAUUUGAAUUUAUUGCAGAGGAGAUAAGUGCUGUGGAUGGUGAAAAGCAGGACUGGAAAUCUGGAGUAAUGAUGCCAGAAAUAGAAUCAUAAAAACUGAUUUAGCACCCACAUCCUGAGAAGCAUCUGCUGACUUCCCUCUCAUUAUGAAAUUGAAUCUGCUACUGAAAAACCAUUCUCCCUAGAUAGUGCAUCUCUGCGGAGGCCGAUUUGAAGGAAUUUGAUAACGCACUAUUCAAAGGAAAACCACACCAUCAAUAAAGAAAUCCACCAAAAUAAAUAUUCUCAGCAAACAUGGACUGGCUUUUUUAGGAAGCCAGAGAAAGUGGCCAUUAUACAUAGGCACAGGCCUGAAUGGCACGCUCUCAGCUCUGGUGUCUGGAGUCACCUGCUCUUGCAUCUCUACCAAACCGUACAUUAUACGCUGGAAAAUUGUACCUGCUCUGCGCCAAAUCCAGCAAACCAAAUCCACUUUUAUAUGACCAGGUGACUAACAAGGGAGAAUGAUGGUCUUUUGGUUAAGCCACUCACCUGGGACUCAGGAGACCUGUGUUUAACUCCUGGCUCUAUCACCAACUUCCUCUGUGACCCUGAGCAUGUCACUUAGUCUUUCUGUGCCUCACUUUCCCACCCAGAAUGGGGGCAGAAUAUCUC